ACCUACCCGGUUACCAAACCCAGUCAAACUCCGAAUGGCUGCAAUCAUACCUGGGAGUCAGACUGCGACUAAUAAGGGCCGUAGUCAAAAGGGAAACAGCCCAGACCAUCAGCUAAGGUCCCCAAUGCCGUGCUAAGUGGCGAAGGAUGUGGCAUUUCAUAAACAACCAGGAUGUUGGCUCAGAAGCAGCCACCAUUUAAAGAGUGCGUAAUAGCUCACUGGUCGAGAGACGCUGCGCCGAAAAUGUCCGGGGCUCAAGCACGGAACCGAAGCUAUGGCAUGAUAGCAAUAUCAUGGGUAGGGGAGCGUUCUUAUAAGGAAGAAGCAUGACCGGAAGGACAUGUGGACGAAUAAGAAGUGAGAAUGCCGGUAUGAGUAUCGAAAAGAAAGGUGAGAAUCCUUUCCACCGAAAGCCCGAGGGUUCCUGAGCAACGAUCGUCGACUCAGGGUAAGUCGGGACCUAAGCCGAGGCGAGAAGCGUAGGCGAUGGACAACAGGUUGAAAUUCCUGUACCGGAUCAAGUCGAUCGAGCGAAGGAGCGACGCAGGAGGGCACAUGAUCGCGCGGCUGGAAGAGCGCGUCCAAGUGCGUAUGUUGCAGCAGAGGAAAACCCCUGCAGCUAAAAGCAGAGACAUGAUGGGGAGUUAAAGGAAACUUUGACGAACUCAUGAAUCCCACACUGCCAAGAAAAACUUCUAGCGAGACAAGAUCCGCCCGUACCGUAAACCGACACAGGUAGGCGGGGAGAGAAUCCUAAGGUGCGCGGGAAAACCCUCGUUAAGGAACUCGGCAAAUUGCAUCCGUAACCUAGGGAGAAGGAUGGCCCCCGGUCAGUGAAGAGCAGAAACGCUCAGAGCUAAAAGGGGCGGCAGAAAAGAGGCCCAAGCAACUGUUUACCAAAAACACAGGUGCCUGCGAAAGCGAAAGCUGAAGUAUAGGUGCUGACGCCUGCCCGGUGCCGGAAGGUUAAGGAGAGAAGUUAGCGAAAGCGAAGCAUCGAACUGAAGCCCCGGUGAACGGCGGCCGUAACUAUAACGGUCCUAAGGUAGCGAAAUUCCUUGUCGGGUAAGUUCCGACCCGCAUGAAAGGCGUAAUGAUUUGGGCACUGUCUCAACGAGGGGCCCGGUGAAAUUGAAAUACCUGUGAAGAUGCAGGUUACCCGCGACUGGACAGAAAGACCCCAUGGAGCUUCACUGCAGCUUGAGAUUGAAUCCCGGUGACAGAUGCACAGGAUAGGUGGGAGGCGCCGAAGCAUUGCCCUAGGGCGGUGCGGAGCCGAUGUUGGGAUACCACCCUUCUGUUGCUGAGAUUCUAACGCGAGGAGUAACGACCCUGCGGACCCUCUCAGGCAGGCGGUUUGACUGGGGCGGUCGCCUCCGAAAG
Molecule: ribosomal RNA, 1383 nt
Filed under: human gut metagenome
Description: bacterial LSU rRNA
Rfam family: Bacterial large subunit ribosomal RNA
Source: RNAcentral